Non-coding RNA from Arachis ipaensis, 1208 nucleotides. The record is from RefSeq and is a predicted model, not a curated record. NCBI's taxonomy places the organism in Eukaryota, Viridiplantae, Streptophyta, Magnoliopsida, Fabales, Fabaceae.
UAGAAGGGUCUAUAUAUAUGGCGAUUUCUCGGCCUCUGUUUCAGAAAUCCCCAAAAUUUCCAUCCCAAAUUGCUUUUCUUUCAUCUCCUUGCAUUCUUUCUACACUUAUGCUCUUCUCUUUCCACACCUCAAAGCCAAACUUUUCCGAACUCUAACCCUAACCCUAAUUAAUCAUUCUCCCCUUCUCCUUCAACCGCACGCGGAGUUGUUCGUGAUUCUCUCAUUCGAGAGUUUCGAUCGCAGAGGCUCGUCCAAAUCCGAGUUCGCAGUUUCGCCUCCUUCACGUUCUUCCCGAGUUGGGUCGGUUGUCGAAGCGCGACCGUCGGAAAUUGUUGCUGUUCUUCCUGCUAUCGAUUCGACGAUUGCAUCGCUCAGCUCCUAACUGUCGCUGUGCCGGUGCUAAGGUUGUAUCUGUUUCCAUAGAGGGCUUCGACGGAGAUUCUUCUCUUGGAUCGUAUAUUCUGAAUGCGUAACGGAAUUUUGUGAAGAAGUUCAAGAUUCCGCGUUGAUUUUUGCUGGCAGAAGAGAAUUCUAGUAGUGUUCGUGCUCUCAGCCUCAGCCUCAGCUUGUGAGUUCGAUUUGAUCGAUCUUAACCCUAGUAAUUUGCAAGUGGAGGACAAAAACAGAGAAAAGAAGAAAAAAGAAAUAGAGCUUUGGAUAUAGUAUUAAAGAAUAAAUAUACGAUGGCGGUGUAUUAUAAAUUUAAGAGUACAAGAGAUUAUGAUUCAAUUCCCAUGCACGGUCCUUUCAUCUCUGUUGGAACAUUGAAAGAAAAAAUAUUUGAAUCCAAGCAUUUAGGGAGGGGUACUGAUUUUGAUCUCGUGGUAACCAACGCCCAGACCAAUGAAGGUUGGUUCUGAGACUUUUUAAUUAAAACUAUUGAAUUCUCAUUAAGAUAGCUGUUGUUUGGGUGGCGAUACCCUGAGUUUGGGGGGUUAAUUGUAAAAUUAAAAUAUGGAACUAUUGCUUUCGUGGUUAAACUCUCGGUGUUUAUCAUGUUCCUCUCAAAGUAAACAUUUUUGCUAGUCUUGGCUUUCAGGAGUUCAUGGUGUUGAAGUUGAGUUUGAUGUUUUAUUUUCAUGCACUGACAGUGUUGUUUUACACUGAUGUCCAAUAAAAAUCAGGGAAUUGUUGUGUUGUGAUUGACAGUUAAAUAGGCAAUUCUCAUCAAUUCUAUUGGUUAAUAAAUAUAUAAGAUUACACUGUCA